AAGCGGAGGAAAAGAAACCAACAGGGAUUGCCCCAGUAACGGCGAGUGAAGCGGCAUCAGCUCAAAUUUGAAAUCUGGGGCCCUCGGCCUCCGAGUUGUAAUUUGGAGAGGCAUCUUCUGGGGGGAGCGCCGGCCCAUGUUCCUUGGAACAGGACGUCACAGAGGGUGAGAAUCCCGUGCUAGGCUGGCGGCCUCCUCCCGUGUGGAGGGCCUUCGACGAGUCGAGUUGUUUGGGAAUGCAGCUCCAAGUGGGUGGUAAAUUUCAUCUAAAGCUAAAUACUGGCGGGAGACCGAUAGCGCACAAGUAGAGUGAUCGAAAGAUGAAAAGCACUUUGAAAAUAGAGUCAAAAAGUACGUGAAAUUGUUGAAAGGGAAGCGCUUGAGACCAGACUCAGGCCCGGGCAAACACCGCGCUCCUUCGGGGCCGUGCAAUUGUCCGGGCCUGGGCCAGCAUCGGUUGGUGUGGCGGGACAAAGGGGCGGGCAAUGUGGCUCCCCACGGGGAGUGUUAUUAGGCCCGCGCUCAAUGCCGCCGACGUCGACUGAGGACCGCGCCUCGGCUAGGAUGCUGGCUCAAUGGCCUUCAGCGACCCGUCUUGAAACACGGACCAAGGAGUCUAACAUCUAUGCGAGUGUUUGGGCGUCAAACCCUUGCGCGUAAUGAAAGUGAGCGGAGGUGGGAACCCCUCGCGGGGUGCACCAUCGACCGAUCCUGAUGUCCUCGGAUGGAUUUGAGUAGGAGCAUAGCUGUUGGGACCCGAAAGAUGGUGAACUAUGCCUGAAUAGGGUGAAGCCAGAGGAAACUCUGGUGGAGGCUCGCAGCGGUUCUGACGUGC
This 835-nucleotide ribosomal RNA is filed under the name Helvella lacunosa. RNAcentral describes it as "eukaryotic LSU rRNA". It matches the Rfam family "Eukaryotic large subunit ribosomal RNA", at positions 48 to 894 of the family's 3401-position model. The record is from RNAcentral. Lineage: Eukaryota; Fungi; Ascomycota; Pezizomycetes; Pezizales; Helvellaceae.